This 497-nucleotide ribosomal RNA is filed under the name uncultured bacterium. RNAcentral describes it as "partial 16S ribosomal RNA". It matches the Rfam family "Bacterial small subunit ribosomal RNA", at positions 28 to 507 of the family's 1533-position model. The record is from RNAcentral.
GACGAACGCUGGCGGCGUGCCUAAUACAUGCAAGUUGAGCGAUGAAGAUUGGUGCUUGCCCCAAUUUGAAGAGCAGCGAACGGGUGAGUAACGCGUGGGGAAUCUGCCUUUGAGCGGGGGACAACAUUUGGAAACGAAUGCUAAUACCGCAUAAUAACUUUAAACAUAAGUUUUAAGUUUGAAAGAUGCAAUUGCAUCACUCAAAGAUGAUCCCGCGUUGUAUUAGCUAGUUGGUGAGGUAAAGGCUCACCAAGGCGAUGAUACAUAGCCGACCUGAGAGGGUGAUCGGCCACAUUGGGACUGAGACACGGCCCAAACUCCUACGGGAGGCAGCAGGAGGGAAUCUUCGGCAAUGGACGAAAGUCUGACCGAGCAACGCCGCGUGAGGGAAGAAGGUUUUCGGAUCGUAAAACUCUGUUGGUAGAGAAGAACGUUGGUGAGAGUGGAAAGCUCAUCAAGUGACGGUAACUACCCAGAAAGGGACGGCUAACUACGUG